RNAcentral lists this ribosomal RNA (423 nucleotides) under uncultured bacterium. RNAcentral's name for it is "bacterial SSU rRNA". It matches the Rfam family "Bacterial small subunit ribosomal RNA", at positions 355 to 775 of the family's 1533-position model. The record is from RNAcentral.
CGAGGAAUAUUGGUCAAUGGGCGGAAGCCUGAACCAGCCAUCCCGCGUGCAGGAAGACGGCCCUAUGGGUUGUAAACUGCUUUUCCAGGGGGAGAAACUUUCCGAUGAAUCGGGAUUUGACGGUACCCUGGGAAUAAGCAUCGGCUAACUCCGUGCCAGCAGCCGCGGUAAUACGGAGGAUGCGAGCGUUAUCCGGAUUUAUUGGGUUUAAAGGGUGCGUAGGCGGAUCGAUAAGUCAGUGGUGAAAACCUGCAGCUUAACUGUAGACUUGCCGUUGAUACUGUUGGUCUUGAGUAUGGUCAAGGUAGGCGGAACGUGUAAUGUAGCGGUGAAAUGCUUAGAUAUUACACAGAACACCGAUUGCGAAGGCAGCUUACUGGACCAUCACUGACGCUGAUGCACGGAAGCGUGGGGAUCGAACAG